RNAcentral lists this transfer RNA (214 nucleotides) under Candidatus Aenigmatarchaeota archaeon. RNAcentral's name for it is "tRNA-Pro". Lineage: Archaea; Nanobdellati; Candidatus Aenigmatarchaeota. The record is from RNAcentral.
GGGGUUGUAGUCUAGCUUGGUCUAGGAUUCGAGCCUUGGGAGCUCGCGACCCCGGUUCAAAGGCUAGCUUUCAACAGAAGGUCGAAAUAGAUCCUCAAAGCGUAAAUCAAGGAUCUAUUUCCGUCUGAGAUUGAAAGCUACCGUACCAAAGAAAACAGUUUACAGAUACGGUUGGGUUAUUGUUAACCCAAGACUGAAAUUCCGGGCAACCUCA